This 2452-nucleotide long non-coding RNA is filed under the name Salmo salar (Atlantic salmon). Its description in RNAcentral is "lncRNA (ENSSSAG00000112790.1)". Lineage: Eukaryota; Metazoa; Chordata; Actinopteri; Salmoniformes; Salmonidae. The record is from RNAcentral.
GUGUUUGUCUGUGUGUUUGUGGGUAAUUGUUUGUGAGCACCGCUUGUUUAGCCUGCCACACUGGUUGGUCGUGAGUAUCGUUUAUUGUUUUUUUUUUCUUUCUGUGGAUGCUUUACGUAUUUCAUUAAAAGAAUGAGUAUCCACAUUCCCGCUGCAUUUUGGUCUUCUCUCCACUACGACAAUUGUGACAGUACCAGUCAAAAGUUUGGACACAGCUACUCAUUCCAGGGUUUCUUUUUUUGCUAUUUUCUAUAUUGUAAUAAUAGUGAAGACAUCAAAACUAUGAAAUAACACAUAUGGAAUCAUGUAGUAGCCAAAAAAGUGUUAAACAAAUCAAAACCGACUUUAUAUUUGAGAUUCUUCAAAGUAGCCACCCUUUGCCUUGAUGACAGCUUUGAUGACAGCUUAGUAAACUUUGAAAAUGGGUCCCACAGACCUGAACGAUACUGAGAUAAACAUAGCUGCAUUGGACCUUUUAAGGAAAAACUAUUGGUCUGUGAAGCAAAAUAUUACAGUGCACUCUGCUUAUAAAAACGAUUUAAGACUCCGAAGGACAGAAACAUUCUGAUACCAUGUACAGAUAUUGAUCUUAAUUCGAACCAGUUUGCUACAGCAGGAAAAUAAUCAAAUACACUAAGUUUUACAUUUCUUGCAAUGUAGAAAAGUUCUCGUGCAACAGGAUCAUUCAUCUGUACGUCUCUUGUAAGGAUCAAUCAGUUAAAUGAAUAAGUGCACUGUGUUUGUAACAGGUGACGGUGAAUAUCAGGUAGACUGGGUGAGAGUAACAUACUAGUGUAACAUGACCAAUGUGUAACUUGUGUGCGUCUAUAGGAGAUCAAGUCAAGAGACACAAGAUGAACCUGUUCACCCAGCAAACUGUGAUGCUUUGGCUCUGUGUUGCUCGUACACUCACGACGGCAGAGCUGGUGAAGCUAAGCACUGUUGACUCUGUCAUUGUGUGGUGUCACCAGAGUGUCCGCCUCCAAUGUAACAUCUCCACCUCCCAGGAGGGACUGUUGAUCAAACAUCUGGCCUGGGUCCGCCAGGACGGGAAGCACCUGUGUGAUGUUAACGGAACUGAAGUGACCGGGACCCACCCAGGGAGCACAACUAGUGCUAUGGAGUGUAGUUAUACCCCACAGACACAGCUGUCCCUGACUCUGCUGCAGGUACGACCACUGGAUCAGGGAAAGUACUUGUGCAAGCUGCGCUCCAGUCAUGGAGUAAAGGAGGCCACUACAAUGGUGAAGCUGCAAGAGUCCUACAAGGAGGCCCAGCCCAGUAUCAGUGAUGAGGGCCCAACCUGCACCUUCACUGGGGUCUAUCCUGAUGGCGAGGUGCACUGGUUCCAGGGACCCAACAACGUGACUGGGGACUCUACAAUCAACACUAAACAAGUGGAAGAUGGAGCGUCAUUGACUAUAACUAGUUCCCUGAAAAGAAAGACAGUCUCUGGGGAAGAGGCCUACAACUGCUCCCUGUGGAUCCCCAGUACCGGAUCCUACCUGACCAGCAGCUUAGUGGUACCAGAGCAUGAUAAAGCCAGGGUUGCGCAGCCCAAUGCCAGUGGGUCAGGGUCCAUUGGUCCUUUGUGGAAACCUUUUCUAGUCCUCCUGAGUACUCUCUUCCUGGUGUGACGUCUUGAAAACAAACAUGAACAAAUUGACAAGCAAGUGCCAGGAUCAUUUAAUAAGAAUAUGGAAGAGCCAUUGUGUGAGGUUCCUUUCAUGGUCCAAAGGUUUCCUUGGCUGCGUAGAACAAGGAAAUGAUGAACAGAUGAGAGAGGCUGAUCAACCUAUUGUGAACGCACCCUUGUUGGUCUGCCAGUGCCAGAUAUAAAUGAUUGUUAAUUAAAAACUGCAAACGGCAGUAGAAACAGUAACAAAGCUUACUUCCUGCCAGUUUUGGUAAAAAAUUGAGGGAUGGGGCUGGAGAAAUGUAACCACUCUCAAAUUCAUAGACGCGCUUUGGAUGCAUGGACUGACCAUCCAUGAUAUCAAAAUAAUAGUUUUAACAAUGUUUUGAGGCUAUAUAGUGUUUUAUUAAAUUGGAGUUGAACAAGCUUCUGAUGGGGUAAGAGAGUUGCACUAAGCUCAUGAGGCAUUUAUAAGUUACAUUCUUCAAGAAUUAAUGUGUACAUAUUAAAAAAAUGAUGUGACAACUACUGAUUGCCCCUUUAAGGGCGUGACCUUUUGUAGAAAAGCCUUCCUGUUUGCGUUAAUCAGAGAGAUCCCCUUGGACAGGAGCGGUGGUUUAACUGGGUUGAUUUUUUUUGUUGUUGAUUUUUUAAGUACAAUGGUAAAUGUAGUGUUUGCUGGCGCCCAUAGUCCACCUAGACACAUCCUCCGUGAGUGUUGUAACACCAACGUUUAACUGAAUGAGAAUUGUGAGAAAUGUAUUGUUAGUAAUGUUUGUUUGUGAGGUGAUAUUCCUGCUUAGGAUGGAUGUAAAU